RNAcentral lists this ribosomal RNA (127 nucleotides) under Carlito syrichta (Philippine tarsier). The record is from RNAcentral. Lineage: Eukaryota; Metazoa; Chordata; Mammalia; Primates; Tarsiidae.
GUCUAUGGCCAUACCACCCUGAAUGUGCCCGAUCUUGUCUGGUCUCAGAAGCUAAGCAGAGAGGGGUCUAGUCAGUACUUGGAUGAAGAUAUUUACAUGAAUCUUCUAACCUAGAUAACAUUAGAUC